Molecule: ribosomal RNA, 428 nt
Filed under: uncultured bacterium
Lineage: Bacteria
Description: bacterial SSU rRNA
Rfam family: Bacterial small subunit ribosomal RNA
Source: RNAcentral
UGGGGAAUAUUGCACAAUGGGCGCAAGCCUGAUGCAGCCAUGCCGCGUGUGUGAAGAAGGCCUUCGGGUUGUAAAGCACUUUCAGCGGGGAGGAAGGCGGUGAGGUUAAUAACCUCAUCGAUUGACGUUACCCGCAGAAGAAGCACCGGCUAACUCCGUGCCAGCAGCCGCGGUAAUACGGAGGGUGCAAGCGUUAAUCGGAAUUACUGGGCGUAAAGCGCACGCAGGCGGUCUGUCAAGUCGGAUGUGAAAUCCCCGGGCUCAACCUGGGAACUGCAUUCGAAACUGGCAGGCUAGAGUCUUGUAGAGGGGGGUAGAAUUCCAGGUGUAGCGGUGAAAUGCGUAGAGAUCUGGAGGAAUACCGGUGGCGAAGGCGGCCCCCUGGACAAAGACUGACGCUCAGGGGCGAAAGCGUGGGGAGCAAACAG